This is a non-coding RNA of Peromyscus maniculatus bairdii (prairie deer mouse), 481 nucleotides long. The record is from RefSeq and is a predicted model, not a curated record. Lineage: Eukaryota; Metazoa; Chordata; Mammalia; Rodentia; Cricetidae.
CUCAGACUUCUCCGGCAAAGAGCCUGACUCUGGCAAUGGCAGCAUUUGGGGUCCCCUGGGUAGGAGAGAGAGAGAGCACGUGGCUUGCCCAUUCCCUCUUAAGGCUCCCCAGAAGGCUUCUGUGCGGCGCUGGAAGGGGUGAAAGUACUCAGGGUAAUUGCCCUCCCAAAAUAGCUAGCUGGAAAUGAUCCCCUUAGGGCCUCUGCGAGCCAGGCAGGAAGCUAACUCGGGGCUCUGCAAAGCACCAGGGGAAAGACCGCCGCUGUAGGACCUUCAUGCUGUCUCUUCCUCACCCACCUCGGAGUGUCCUCUCUCAGGACUCCUCUGUUUACUUCAUUUAGGUGUUUCCAGGGGACUGUUCCUUUGUGCUGCGGACUGUGAAGUCCCUCCAUGGAUGGAAAUGAGCUGGGAACCGCCUGCCUGUGAGACAAAUGAAGCCGCCACUGCCCCUUGAGUGUGCUUCUGACCGACUCCUACGCUG